GUCUGCGUGGUCCUUCCCCUCCUGUUUUUCAGCGACCCGCUCCGCUCCUUCCUUGGCUCUCCUUUUGGACCAACUCAUUUGCUUACUGAUCUAGGUGGAGCCCUCGGAACCCAUUUCUGUCCUUCCCCUAAGGCAGGGGUCGGCAAACUUUUGAGAUGGAAGAGCCGCCCGGGGUCGGCAAACUGCGGCUUGCGAGAGGUUCUUUGGACAGAGUUCUUUCCGAGAGAGAAUAUAAGUGAACUUCCUGAAGAUCUGACAUAUCAAAGGCACAUGAACCAUACAUAGAAUUCAAACCUUUAAGUGGAAACAUAUAAAGGCCAAUUCCACGUCUUCAGUCAGAAGUCAGAGAGCAGAAAGGAGGUCUGUCGGUGAUACCAGAGGUGGGAGCUAGUGGCUGCAGCCAGGGACAAAAGCAGAAUUCUAACAUCUGCUCCCUACAUCUGCCAUUGAUUGUGUUGACCUUUGAUCUAUUUAUAAAAUGAAGAUAAUCAUUCUUGCUUUUUCUCGAGGUUGAACUUCGUUAAUUACUCAUUUUUAAAUGCUUUGAGAUCUUCAACAUGAAAGGCAGCUUGGCCUUAUUUAAACAGCUCUCCCAAUAGGUAGAUGGCCCAGCAACAUCUGUCAAUACAACACAGGAAUCUGAUCUCCAUUUUACCAGAAAGUGAGGCCCAGGAAGAUGGAUGUGUUCACCCGGAGUUGUAAGCUGCUGACAGACAGGGAGAACCCCCUUCAUCUCUGACUUCAAGCUUGCAGGAAUGAGAAAUCUCAGGGCAGCCUUGUUUCAUCAAGAUGUAACACUACACAGAGGUUCCUCGUCUCUAGGGUUUCAUCUCUGCCUGAGGAAAGCAUGUGGCUGCACUGUGCCCGCUGCAACGUGAGCCCACCAGAGAGAACAGCUAGAGCCACAGGGGCCGCUGGCAGCGGCCUCUCCCCGGAAGACCCAAAAGAAACUUUGCUGGGACAUGUAAUAGGAGAAGGUGGGCUGAACUAGAAAGCAGCAUCUGCAGGGCUCCUCUGGAGGCUCACCUUUUCAACCCAGAGAUCUGCGAAAGACGGAAUGGGAUGGAGAGGGCUGAGAUCUCUGUGUGACAGGUCCGUAAUGCAGCAUCCGAGGGUUGACUUGACUCCUACUGUGGCUGCUGGAACCAGCAAUAACAUGUGGUGGUUCGAGGAGCCAGAAGACCAGGCUUUCAAAUCUAACGCAAAACGUACCAGCGGUGCAAUUUGAUCACUAAAUCUCUCUGAGCCUCAGCGCCUCGACUGUGGGAGGGGAUAAUCAGAACACCAACUUGUCAGAGUUGUUAGGCAGAUUAAAGGAGAAAAGGCAUGUGACAGCGAUGCCUCUGAUGGAAGAGUUUCAAUCAAUACUCAUUAAAAAGAUUAAAACACUAAAAACUCAUUUAAGAUUGAGCAGAGCUCACCCCCUUUACUUUUUAAAGCAUAUAUCCUCUUCAUUCUUAAAGUAAUACUUGUACAUGAUAAAAACAAACAAACAAACAAGCAAGCAAAAAACACAAUAGUAUGAAAGAGGAUACAGUGGAAAAUGAGCAUGUCUGCCAUUGGAACCUAGUGUCACCCAUUUCUCCUCCCUGGUGGCAAUGAAGAUUUCCAGGUUCUGGGGGUAUCUUUCCAGAGAUAUUCCCUGCAUGCAUAAGGAAUUUUGUGGAUUUUAAACUGUGACUCCUUUUUAUACUGAUAACAUGAUAUAUACAUUCUACUUAUUAUACUUUGUAUAUUUUCACUAAACAAUGUAUCUUGAAAUUGUCUAUCAGUAUAUAGAGGUACCUCAUUCUUUUUAAGGCUGCAUAGUAUUACACUGUAUUUAUUUAGUCCUCUGUGGAUAGAUAUUUAGGUUUGUAUUCGUUUUCUAUGGGUGCUGUAACAAAUUACUAUGAAUUUAGUGGCUUAAAACAACACAUAUCUAUUACCUUACAGUUCAGAAGUCCGAAAUGGGUCUUGAUGAACUAAAAUCAAGGUGGGGCAGGAUUGCGUUCCUUUGGACAUUCUAGGGGUGAAUCUCUGUCCUGGCCUUUCUAGCUUCUAGAGAUCACUUGCAUUCCUUGGCUUCGUCCCUUUACUUCAUCUUGGAAGCCAGCAACUGUAGGUAGAGUUUUUCUCACACCACAUCAUUCUGGCUCUCCGGUUCUGCUUCCUUCUUUCACUUUUAAGGACCCUUGUGAUUACAAUGAGCUGACUGGGAUAAUCUAGGAUAAUCUCCCUAUUUUAAGAUCAGCUGUUUAGUAAUCUUAAUCCCAUCUGCAACUUUAAUUCCCCUUGGCCAUGCAUAGUCACAGGUUCUGGGGAGUAGAAUGUGGACUUUUAUUUUUUUUGGUGGAGGGGGGGAGGUAUUCUGCCUAUCACAAGGAUAUUUCCUGUCUUUUGGUGUUACAAACAGAACUGAUAAAUGUCCUUGUGUGUCACUUCUUACCUGUGAGUAUAUAUGUAAUAUAAAGUCUGAGAAGUGGACUGUCGUCUAUGUAAAAGGGCAUGUGUUUUAAUUUUUUUGGAAGGUAUUAUCAAAUUUUGCUCCAAAGGGAUUGGACCAAUUUAUUAGUUCAAGUUAAAAAAAUAAAUUAUAUUUUUAGAGCAAUUUUAGGUUUACAGAAAAAUUGACCAGAAAGUAGAGUUCCCACAGACCUCCCUGCCCUUCCAUAGUUUCACAUAUUAUUUACAUGUUGUAUUCAUGUGAUAUAUUUGUUACAAUUGAUGAGCCAGUGUUGAUCUAUUAUUAUGAACUAAAGUACACAGUUUACAUUAAGGCUUGCUCUUGGUGAUCUAUAUUCUGUGGGUUUUGACAAAUGUAUAAUAACAUGUAUCCACCAUUGUAUAUCAUACAAAGUAGUUUCACAGCCCUAAAAUUCUUCUGUGCUCUACUUAUUGAUCCCCCUCUCCCUCACCCCGAACCCUAACACAGUCAUAUUUUUACUGUCUCCAUUCAGUUGGAAUCAUACAGCAUAUAGCCUUUUCAGAUGACCUUCCCUCACUUAGGAAUAUACAUUUAAGAUAGCUUCAUGUCUUUCUGGGGCUUGAUAGCUCAUUUCUUUUAAUUGCUAAAUAAUAUUCCAUUGUAUGGAUGUACCAGAUUAUUUAUCC
This is a long non-coding RNA of Hipposideros armiger (great roundleaf bat), 3093 nucleotides long. RefSeq lists it as uncharacterized. The transcript has 4 exons. Lineage: Eukaryota; Metazoa; Chordata; Mammalia; Chiroptera; Hipposideridae. The record is from RefSeq and is a predicted model, not a curated record.